RNAcentral lists this ribosomal RNA (896 nucleotides) under uncultured bacterium. RNAcentral's name for it is "bacterial SSU rRNA". It matches the Rfam family "Bacterial small subunit ribosomal RNA", at positions 62 to 922 of the family's 1533-position model. The record is from RNAcentral.
UCGAACGAACUCUGGUAUUGAUUGGUGCUUGCAUCAUGAUUUACAUUUGCGUGAGAGGCGAACUGGUGAGUAACACGUGGGAAACCUGCCCCCAUGCGGGGGAUAACACCUGGAAACAGAUGCUAAUACCGCAUAACAACUUGGACCGCAUGGUCCGAGUUUGAAAGAUGGCUUCGGCUAUCACUUCUGGAUGGUCCCGCGGCGUAUUAGCUAGAUGGUGAGGUAACGGCUCACCAUGGCAAUGAUACGUAGCCGACCUGAGAGGGUAAUCGGCCACAUUGGGACUGAGACACGGCCCAAACUCCUACGGGAGGCAGCAGUAGGGAAUCUUCCACAAUGGACGAAAGUCUGAUGGAGCAACGCCGCGUGAGUGAAGAAGGGUUUCGGCUCGUAAAACUCUGUUGUUAAAGAAGAACAUAUCUGAGAGUAACUGUUCAGGUAUUGACGGUAUUUAACCAGAAAGCCACGGCUAACUACGUGCCAGCAGCCGCGAUAAUACGUAGGUGGCAAGCGUUGUCCGGAUUUAUUGGGCGUAAAGCGAGCGCAGGCGGUUUUUUAAGUCUGAUGUGAAAGCCUUCGGCUCAACCGAAGAAGUGCAUCGGAAACUGGGAAACUUGAGUGCAGAAGAGGACAGUGGAACUCCAUGUGUAGCGGUGAAAUGCGUAGAUAUAUGGAAGAACACCAGUGGCGAAGGCGGCUGUCUGGUCUGUAACUGACGCUGAGGCUCGAAAGUAUGGGUAGCAAACAGGAUUAGAUACCCUGGUAGUCCAUACCGUAAACGAUGAAUGCUAAGUGUUGGAGGGUUUCCGCCCUUCAGUGCUGCAGCUAACGCAUUAAGCAUUCCGCCUGGGGAGUACGGCCGCAAGGCUGAAACUCAAAGGAAUUGACGGGGGCCC